RNAcentral lists this ribosomal RNA (497 nucleotides) under uncultured bacterium. RNAcentral describes it as "partial 16S ribosomal RNA". It matches the Rfam family "Bacterial small subunit ribosomal RNA", at positions 28 to 507 of the family's 1533-position model. The record is from RNAcentral.
GACGAACGCUGGCGGCGUGCCUAAUACAUGCAAGUUGAGCGCUGAAGGUUGGUCCUUGUACCAACUGGAUGAGCAGCGAACGGGUGAGUAACGCGUGGGGAAUCUGCCUUUGAGCGGGGGACAACAUUUGGAAACGAAUGCUAAUACCGCAUAAAAACUUUAAACACAAGUUUUAAGUUUGAAAGAUGCAAUUGCAUCACUCAAAGAUGAUCCCGCGUUGUAUUAGCUAGUUGGUGAGGUAAAGGCUCACCAGGGCGAUGAUACAUAGCCGACCUGAGAGGGUGAUCGGCCACAUUGGGACUGAGACACGGCCCAAACUCCUACGGGAGGCAGCAGUAGGGAAUCUUCGGCAAUGGACGAAAGUCUGACCGAGCAACGCCGCGUGAGUGAAGAAGGUUUUCGGAUCGUAAAACUCUGUUGGUAGAGAAGAACGUUGGUGAGAGUGGAAAGCUCAUCAAGUGACGGUAACUACCCAGAAAGGGACGGCUAACUACGUG